CCCUCUUAAGAAUGGACAAACAUUUAUACUGUGAUUAUUUAGAGAUCAACAAAUAUAAAUAUGAACUGUAUUGUUUUUUUUAAUGUUCUUAUGUCGUUAUAAUAAAUCACACAUAUUUAUUUUUCUUCCUCUUUCAUAACAGCAGAUAAACCCAGGGCCACACUGACAGCAGGAACAACAAUCAUACCAGUAGGGGGCAGUGUGACACUGACCUGCUCUGUGCAGAGCUCUGAUGGAUGGAAAUAUGAGUGGUUCAGAGGAACCCAAACAACCUUUAUAGUUCAAAUCAGAGAUCAACAAAACAGAGAUAUCAGAGUAUCUCAAGGAGGAAUCUACAGCUGUUUCGGAACAAGAGGAAACCCAGUUUACGCCACUGAUAUAAGUGAUGAUGUCACCAUUGAGAUAACCUCACAGUUCAGGACUGAAACGUUUCCUACUCUGUUGAUCACUGGACUUCUUUGUGGAAUUUUACUGAUUCUUCUUUUUCUGCUGCUGUGUUACAUCAAACUGUUAAAAGAUAAAUCUUUUAUCAGGACUCAACACAUGAUCAACCAGGAUGAAGCUCAACACAGCCAAAA
This is a long non-coding RNA of Oreochromis aureus, 578 nucleotides long. NCBI's taxonomy places the organism in Eukaryota, Metazoa, Chordata, Actinopteri, Cichliformes, Cichlidae. The record is from Ensembl.